UGCGGGAUAGAGCAGUGGCAGCUCGUCAGGCUCAUAACCUGAAGGUCGUAGGUUCGAAUCCUACUCCCGCUA
This 72-nucleotide transfer RNA is filed under the name Sphingorhabdus sp. RNAcentral describes it as "tRNA-Met". It matches the Rfam family "tRNA". From Rfam's summary of the family: Transfer RNA (tRNA) molecules are approximately 80 nucleotides in length. Their secondary structure includes four short double-helical elements and three loops (D, anti-codon, and T loops). Lineage: Bacteria; Pseudomonadati; Pseudomonadota; Alphaproteobacteria; Sphingomonadales; Sphingorhabdaceae. RNAcentral also lists the same sequence under 8 other names. The record is from RNAcentral.